UUCUUCCACACACAGUGUAAGUCCAUCCUUCCAUCCUGAAUUGUAGGCACACACUCAGUAAACACCCACCCGUCCUGCAGCUGUGAUGGGCUCCCUGGCAGGGGCUUUGCUCUAGGCAUCUUUCCUCCAAGCAUCCACAGAAAGGAGGGCCACCAAGGAAGACCUUCUUGAGUGGCAAUUAGCUUAAUUUGCUUUAUUUGCAUUUCUCAAUGUUUGUUUAGGGAUGAACAGAGUUUAGACUAUAGCUAUUGUUUGGGCACCUAAAAGGAAUGUGCCUGUAGUAAAUGCAUCAAAAGUUCUGUCUCCCUCUGUAAGAAAGGAGAAGCAAAAAAGAAUCGCAAGUCAGAAAGUGUUGGCCUUCCACUGACAGAGCUGGAAGAGGCCAGAGUCCAGCCGCGGGGUUCUUUCUGUGCCAUCGACCUCCCUGCGCCCCCAUCUCAGAUCCUCCUUCUUCCAGCUGAACCAGAGCCUGCCUGCCUCACAACCACUUGGUGGCCCUGCUACAAGUCAGAGAAAACAACAACAGGGAAUGUGUCUUUUCAAAAGUGUUUUCACUUACCGGGGCUUUCCAAAGACAAUUUUCAUUUUAGAAAAGUUGUGCCGGAAUUCCUGUCACGGCUCAGUAGUUAAUGAAUCCAACUAGAAGCCAUGAGGUUGCAGGUUCGAUCCCUGGCCUUGCGCAGUGGGUUAAAGAUCCAGUGAGCUGUGGUGUAGGUCACAGAGGCAGCUCGGACCUGGCGUUGCUGUGGCUAUAGCCACGUCUGCGACCUACACCAUAGCUCAGAGCAACACUGGAUCCCCGAGCUGCUGAGUGAGGCCAGGGAUCGAACCUGUAUGGAUACUAGUGGAUACUAAUGGAUACUAGUUGGAUUCAUUUCCAUUGCAUCACAACGGGAACUCCCUAUUUUUUAAAUUUACAUAAAGUAAUUUCACUAUAUGUGUCUGUAACCUUUUUCACUCCACACUGUGCUUUUCAGAGUGACUCUUAGUGAUACAUGAAGAUCUAGUUCAUGCAUCUUGAACACUACAGAGUAUUUUGGUAGAGCACACAUAGCACAAUGUUUCUCCUUAUUCCCCUGUGGAUGGAUAGCUUGGCUGUUUCCUGCACAAACAGUGAGGCAGCGACGGUCCUUUGCAGGUCCCUUUGAGUACAUAUGCACAAAUGUGUGCUUUCAUCUGUGCAUCACCUACCAAUGUCCCUUUAACACCUUACUGGGCUUGUCUGCUUUUCUUAUUGCCUCCCUCACCCCCAAGCAGAGAGUACAUUCAUUUCACUUCUAUGCCAUUAGCACAUCAUACCUAACUCAUAAUGGAUUAACACGGAGGGAGAGAGGGCAGGAGGAGGGAAGGAAGAAAAGAAGGGAGGGAGGGAGGCCAUAGAAGUUUCCAACAUCAAGGUCAGGAUCAAAGGACUAGGCAGCCAAUAGCAUUAUUUUGUGGAAAUCCAGGUAUGAAGUUGGUAGUGAGGAGUCCAGGAGGCAUUUUAAUAUGAUUUACAUGCCUGGGAUCAGAAAACACACUCUCAGCAUGCUUUUUACUCCGGUAGAAAAAUAGAGGCCCUGACUAUAUUUUGCACUGGUACUUAAACAGGCUUCUGACAAAAACCAAAGACUAUUUUGUGUAGUUUUCCAGAUAAAGUAAACUACAUUAUCUUAAGCCAGCUGACCAUAUACAAAGAUGAAACUUUGUCAAUGUUAAAAAUAAAAUAGCCACUUACCUCAGUAGCAGAAUGAGUUUACUCUGGAAUACCCAGAGGAAUUGCAGUUUGGGAAAUGUAAUCUAUGGCAGACCAUAGCAAAUCC
Molecule: long non-coding RNA, 1802 nt
Filed under: Sus scrofa (pig)
Lineage: Eukaryota; Metazoa; Chordata; Mammalia; Artiodactyla; Suidae
Description: lncRNA (ENSSSCG00030038703.1)
Source: RNAcentral